GAUGAACGCUGGCGGCGUGCCUAAUACAUGCAAGUCGAGCGAACAGACGAGGAGCUUGCUCCUCUGACGUUAGCGGCGGACGGGUGAGUAACACGUGGAUAACCUACCUAUAAGACUGGGAUAACUUCGGGAAACCGGAGCUAAUACCGGAUAAUAUAUUGAACCGCAUGGUUCAAUAGUGAAAGACGGUUUUGCUGUCACUUAUAGAUGGAUCCGCGCCGCAUUAGCUAGUUGGUAAGGUAACGGCUUACCAAGGCAACGAUGCGUAGCCGACCUGAGAGAGUGAUCGGCGACACUGGAACUGAGACACGGUCAAGACGCCUACGGGAGGCAGCAGUAGGGAAUCUUCCGCAAUGGGCGAAAGCUUGACGGAGCAACGCCGCGUGAGUGAUGAAGGUCUUCGGAUCGUAAAACUCUGUUAUUAGGGAAGAACAAAUGUGUAAGUAACUAUGCACGUCUUGACGGUACCUAAUCAGAAAGCCACGGCUAACUACGUG
RNAcentral lists this ribosomal RNA (497 nucleotides) under uncultured bacterium. RNAcentral's name for it is "partial 16S ribosomal RNA". It matches the Rfam family "Bacterial small subunit ribosomal RNA", at positions 28 to 507 of the family's 1533-position model. The record is from RNAcentral.